GCAAUCACUGAUGUUUGUCUCUCCUGAAAAUUAGAGACAAUGAAAUGUUGAAGAUAUCAACUAAUUAUUUGUGAUGUGAACUUCCAUUCUGAGUACAAGUAAUUGCAACACAGAAAUAGCUCAGGUGGUUGGGUGAUAGGCUUUGGUUUAAGAUUAUAGCUUCGAGCUGUAGUGCUCUCCAUUUGUGACUCGCACACGCUCAGAAGCGUGAUUGUUUCAAUCCUUUGUCAUACAAUAAAAGUCACAAAGUGUACAGCUAACUGUUAAUUUGAAUCCUGAAUCAUGCAAAAUUUUUUGUGAUCAUUUCAAUAGAUUCCU
RNAcentral lists this unclassified non-coding RNA (318 nucleotides) under Hevea brasiliensis (rubber tree). Lineage: Eukaryota; Viridiplantae; Streptophyta; Magnoliopsida; Malpighiales; Euphorbiaceae. The record is from RNAcentral.